GACGAACGCUGGCGGCGUGCCUAAUACAUGCAAGUCGAACGCAGUGGGGACGGGUGAGUAACACGUGGGUAACCUCCCAUCAGAGGGGAUAACACUUGGAAACAGGUGCUAAACCGAUACUGAUGGAUGGACCCGCGGUGCAUUAUCUAGUUGGUGAGGUAACGGCACACCAAGGCCACGAUGCAUAGCCGACCUGAUAGGGUGUGCGGCCACACUGGGGUGGAGACUCGGCCCGGUCUCAUACGGGAGGCAGCUGAAGGGAGUGUUCGGCAAUGGACGAGAGGCUGGCCGGACAACGCCGCGUGGGUGAAGAAGGUUUUCGGAUCGUAAAACUCUAUUGUUAGUGAAGCGGUAUCUAACCAGAAAGCCACGGCUAACUACGUGCCAGCAGCCGCGGUAAUAC
RNAcentral lists this ribosomal RNA (403 nucleotides) under uncultured bacterium. RNAcentral describes it as "partial 16S ribosomal RNA". It matches the Rfam family "Bacterial small subunit ribosomal RNA", at positions 28 to 526 of the family's 1533-position model. The record is from RNAcentral.